Molecule: long non-coding RNA, 278 nt
Organism: Lynx canadensis (Canada lynx)
Lineage: Eukaryota; Metazoa; Chordata; Mammalia; Carnivora; Felidae
Exons: 2
Source: RefSeq, a predicted model, not a curated record
CUUCCAUGGCCUCAACUCAGUCUUCUCAUUCCCAAGCCAUUCCACAAACUUCUUCAUCCUUUUGAAGGAAAGAAAUUGUCUUCACUGAAAUAGAAUACGGGGACAGCCCAAACUCAAGAGAUCACUGGGAGAACGACAGCCAAAGGAUUAAGUCUGUGCCAGAGUGACAAACUCCUAUCAAACACCAAUUACAACAGAAGAUGGUAUGGAAAUACGAAUGUAGUCUAGAUGUGCUGUCUCUAAAUGCCAUCCACUCUAUAAAGGAAAAUUAAACCAGU